This 252-nucleotide ribosomal RNA is filed under the name uncultured bacterium. RNAcentral's name for it is "partial 16S ribosomal RNA". It matches the Rfam family "Bacterial small subunit ribosomal RNA", at positions 524 to 776 of the family's 1533-position model. The record is from RNAcentral.
UACGGGGGGGGCAAGCGUUGUUCGGAAUUACUGGGCGUAAGGGCUCGUAGGCGGCCAACUAAGUCAAACGUGAAAUCCCUCGGCUUAACCGGGGAACUGCGCUUGAUACUGGAUGGCUUGAGAUUGGGAGAGGGAUGCGGAAUUCCAGGUGUAGCGGUGAAAUGCGUAGAUAUCUGGAGGAACACCGGUGGCGAAGGCGGCAUCCUGGACCAACACUGACGCUGAGGAGCGAAAGCCAGGGGAGCAAACGGG